GAUCAUGGCUCAGGAUGAACGCUAGCUACAGGCUUAACACAUGCAAGUCGAGGGGCAGCAUUUUUAUAGCAAUAUAAAAGAUGGCGACCGGCGCACGGGUGAGUAACACGUAUCCAACCUGCCGAUAACUCGGGGAUAACCCUUCGAAAGAAGGCCUAAUACCCGAUGGCAUAUCCCUUCCGCCUGGUUGGGAUAUUAAAGAACUUCGGUUAUCGAUGGGGAUGCGUUCCAUUAGGCAGUUGGUGAGG
Molecule: ribosomal RNA, 248 nt
Filed under: uncultured bacterium
Lineage: Bacteria
Description: partial 16S ribosomal RNA
Rfam family: Bacterial small subunit ribosomal RNA
Source: RNAcentral